Meleagris gallopavo (turkey) is the source of this 2278-nucleotide long non-coding RNA. The record is from Ensembl. NCBI's taxonomy places the organism in Eukaryota, Metazoa, Chordata, Aves, Galliformes, Phasianidae.
CAUGUUUCAUAUCUUUUAAAUCAGAAGACAUGCUUAUGUUUCAUAUUUCACAUCAAAUAACCCUUGGAAAGCUAUUUCAGCAUGCUUUUAUCCUUCGUGUUAAAAUCUGCCUGGAAACAUAACUGGCCUUUUAGAAAGUUUUUCCUCUCCAGGCAUACUCCAGUGGAGCAGAGCCCUGUGGAGGGCUAAGUGUUCUUUCUUGCCCCGUAAGGGAAGAUGUAACAAGGUGAAGUGUGAAAAAGAAUUCAAGACCAAAGCAUCCAACCUCUGUCCAUUCUGUUUCUACAGGAGAGACUGUUGAAGCCAAGGAAUGGGAAAUGUGCUGGAGAGGAUGUGCUCCCUUAGGCAAAGCAUAGUAGUUUGCAGCUAACUUUCUGUUUCCUCCUUGUCGGACCCUCUCUACUACGCCAAGACAGCAUCAGCAGACUGCUCCAGCAAGCCAGUGCAGCAGCCCAGGGUGCAGCAUGAGGGCCCAGACUGUAGCCCAGCGCAGCCCCAGGGGGCUACUGAGAUCUCCAAAGCAAAGAUAGAUAAACACUGUCUAAAAGUGUUUUGUUUUCAUUUGUUACUAUUUCCUGGCCUAAGAAUGUAUGAUUACAGUCUUGCACAGCCAGUACAUGACUAUGAACAAAUCCGCAAGUUAGGAAGAAGUUUCUGUUUUGGGUGCCUAAACUGUAUAAACAUUGCAUAUAUCCAUUAUAUAUUGCAAGUGGGAAUAGAGGUAUCUGCAUACACAUGUGUGUAUCAGUGUUAUGAUUCCCUUUGUUGAUGAAGCAUAAAUUUGGGCUCUGGGCCUGAUCACGACUCUUAGAUACUUUAGCUUUAGUUCACUGUAUUCCUGCAGCACCGGAUACUCUCCAAUGCAAGCAAUGUGAUACUAAACCUUUUUCAGAGGCCAAGAUCCAUGAAGAUUUGCUAUGCCCUUUCCUGACACUAGGAUCAACUCACGUAGCUGAGUCUGGCAUUCGUAUACAUUUCAAUGUCUCUGUGGGAACUGCAUAUGCUCUUUUUAUUUUAUGCUAAGAUUCCACUAAAUUGUUCUUUGGAUUUAUUUCAAAGAAGGAGAAGGGAGAAAAAGGCAGUAAAGAUUGCUCUUCUUAUGCUUUUAGUUGUUUUUUUAACUCAAUUAUAUUUUGAUAAUUCUGUAUGAAGCUUUGGAGUAUGUCUUUGUUUAAGCAGUAUACCUUCCAUAGGAAUAGUCAGUUAAAUGUAUAUGGCUAGUUUCAGGCAUAACAAGCUUUGACAAGGGCAUUUAGCGGUUGUAAUUCAAAUCUAAUUCAGAACAUCUUAGCACUGGACCUGUCAAGCACUUGAAAUGCACUGUAGCUGCAAAACGAAGGGAUAUGGUCCCAGUCGUGCUCUGUGUGGCAUCAAGCUGAUGUGUCAACAAGAGCAGUUACAAUUACAGGUUCUUUCAAGCAUACUAAACUAAUUUACAGCACUCUGAAAUUGUGGGAAAAGGCCUUGCUGGCAUGAAGGUACAUGGGACUUUCAUACUGCUAAGACAAGGCAGGUGACAAGAGGGUUUCAUUCAGGAGUUUCAAUAUUGCACAGUUUCAGUGCCACCUUUGAAGAGGGGGGAGGGAUUGUUAGAUUUGUAACUAGAUAUUUUGUGGAUAAUAAUAGAUUUGCCUUGCAGCCAUCAAAUACCCUUGUCAAAUCCCAUUAGAAUCACAUUGCACGCUUGUUUGAAACCUCAAUCUAAAAUGCACCCAUUUGCUAAGUGAGGAUGGGGUCCUAAUUGCACUGCCAGUGACUGGUCCUUUCUGUUUGCUUGUCUUGUUGGCAUAAUAAACAGCACUGACCCUGGCUGCAAAAUGUCUCCACUGCUGCUUCUUCCAUGGAUUAGAAAGCUUUGCGUAUAGGGAGAGGUCUCUCCAGAAGCAGAUCUGAUCCAAGGAUGUCCCACAAAAAACAGGACAGAAUUACAGUAACCAACAUGUAAUUUUAACAUCAAGAUAUAAAAAGACUUGAUUUUAAAGUGCGCCAGUGAUUUAAAGCAGCUGCACACGUUUAGAGGGCAUCGCUUUAAUGUGCUCACAAAGGCUAAUGGAAGCUUUUACAAAAGAAAAAAAAACAACAACACAGGUUUUAUGAUUUAUCUACUUUUUAUGCACAAUAUUAUAGGCUCUUCCCACAGGGACUCAUAAAUGUGAUUUUUACUUCCCAAAUUACAAAGCUAGUCAAUUAUUUGGGAAUGAGUCAUUCAUUCAAGAGUGUCUGUAGCGGGAUGUGUUAACCAUCAGGAAAUUUUACACCAAUUGGAAUUAUAAACACC